UGCGGAAGGAUCCAUUAA
This 18-nucleotide ribosomal RNA is filed under the name Sporobolomyces salmonicolor. Its description in RNAcentral is "Sporidiobolus salmonicolor partial 18S rRNA". Lineage: Eukaryota; Fungi; Basidiomycota; Microbotryomycetes; Sporidiobolales; Sporidiobolaceae. The record is from RNAcentral.